This 890-nucleotide ribosomal RNA is filed under the name Bacillus subtilis. RNAcentral's name for it is "bacterial SSU rRNA". It matches the Rfam family "Bacterial small subunit ribosomal RNA", at positions 450 to 1341 of the family's 1533-position model. The record is from RNAcentral. Lineage: Bacteria; Bacillati; Bacillota; Bacilli; Caryophanales; Bacillaceae.
CAGUGCCGUCAAAUAGGCGGCACUUGACGGUACUAACAGAAAGCACGGCUAACUACGUGGCCAGCAGCCGCGGUAAUACGUAGGUGGCAGCGUGUCAGAAUUAUGGGCGUAAAGGGCUCGCAGGCGGUUUCUUAAGUUGAUGUGAAAGCCCCCCGGCUCAACCGGGGAGGGUCAUUGGAAACUGGGGAACUUGAGUGCAGAAGAGGAGAGUAGAACUCCACGUGUAGCGGUGAAAUGCGUAGAGAUGUGGAGGAACACCAGUGGCGACGGCGACUCUCUGGUCUGUAACUGACGCUGAGGAGCGAAAGCGUGGGGAGCGAACAGGAUUAGAUACCCUGGUAGUCCACGCCGUAAACGAUGAGUGCUAAGUGUUAGGGGGUUUCCGCCCCUUAGUGCUGCAGCUAACGCAUUAAGCACUCCGCCUGGGGAGUACGGUCGCAAGACUGAAACUCAAAGGAAUUGACGGGGGCCCGCACAACGCGGUGGAGCAUGUGGUUUAAUUCGAAGCAACGCGAAGAACCUUACCAGGUCUUGACAUCCUCUGACAAUCCUAGAGAUAGGACGUCCCCUUCGGGGGCAGAGUGACAGGUGGUGCAUGGUUGUCGUCAGCUCGUGUCGUGAGAUGUUGGGUUAAGUCCCGCAACGAGCGCAACCCUUGAUCUUAGUUGCCAGCAUUCAGUUGGGCACUCUAAGGUGACUGCCGGUGACAAACCGGAGGAAGGUGGGGAUGACGUCAAAUCAUCAUGCCCCUUAUGACCUGGGCUACACACGUGCUACAAUGGACAGAACAAAGGGCAGCGAAACCGCGAGGUUAAGCCAAUCCCACAAAUCUGUUCUCAGUUCGGAUCGCAGUCUGCAACUCGACUGCGUGAAGCUGGAAUCGCUAGUAA